Molecule: ribosomal RNA, 490 nt
Filed under: uncultured bacterium
Lineage: Bacteria
Description: partial 16S ribosomal RNA
Rfam family: Bacterial small subunit ribosomal RNA
Source: RNAcentral
AUUGAACGCUGGCGGCAGGCCUAACACAUGCAAGUCGAACGGUAACAGGAAGAAGCUUGCUUCUUUGCUGACGAGUGGCGGACGUGUGAGUAAUGUCUGGGAAACUGCCUGAUGGAGGGGGAUAACUACUGGAAACGUUAGCUAAUACCGCAUAACGUCGCAAGACCAAAGAGGGGGACCUUCGGGCCUCUUGCCUUCGGCUGUGCCCAGAUGGGAUUAGCUAGUAGGUGGGGUAACGGCUCACCUAGGCGACGAUCCCUAGCUGGUCUGAGAGGAUGACCAGCCACACUGGAACUGAGACACGGUCCAGACUCCUACGGGAGGCAGCAGUGGGGAAUAUUGCGCAAUGGGCGCAAGCCUGAUGCAGCCAUGCCGCGUGUAUGAAGAAGGCCUUCGGGUUGUAAAGUACUUUCAGCGGGGAGGAAGGGAGUAAAGUUAAUACCUGUGCUCAUUGACGGUACCCGCAGAAGAAGCACCGGCUAACUCCGUG